GCCUCUGCAGAGUGACUGUAAUUGAAGAUAGCACUGGAGCUGCUGGGAUUGAAUUUGGAAGUGAUUCCAGUAGAAUGGCCGGGCACGGCGAGCUGCUGAAAUAGCCUUCCUAUCUUCCUGCAAGCUGUGCCCUGGGAAAGCUGAACUCUUCCCACCUCCCUUCUGCAAGGAGCCAGGUGAAGGCUGCCUCAGGAACUCGGGCAGGCAGUAAAAAGCAGCUGUUUCAGCAGGGUGGAAGAAAGCAACUGUCUGCUUUGAUGAAUGUCCCAGAUCAAUGAUUUCAGAGAAGCUGGAUGUAAGAAGACUAUUAACAGCAUUUGCAGAUGAUCAUAAGUCAGGUGUUACAAACACAAGUAUGAAGAAAUAAUACAACAUAACCUAAAAGUCUUGGAAACAGGAAAUUGAAUGAAAUCACCACUGACAGGAUGCCUGGUUAGAAGUGAAACCUCAGCCCUGUGUGACCCUCGUGCUGCUUUGGAGAGGAGCAGUGACAGUUUGCUGAGUCUGGAAACACAUUUCUCUUAUCUCCAGGUGCUUUGUGAGGUGAUCAGAACUGUGAAGACUUCUAUUGCUGCCUUCCUCAGCAAACCAGCCCUUCAGAGCAGGAGCAAUUCCAUUCCAUGAGUCUGUACCUUCUCCAUGGUG
Passer montanus (Eurasian tree sparrow) is the source of this 645-nucleotide long non-coding RNA. RefSeq lists it as uncharacterized. The transcript has 5 exons. The record is from RefSeq and is a predicted model, not a curated record. Lineage: Eukaryota; Metazoa; Chordata; Aves; Passeriformes; Passeridae.